This 413-nucleotide long non-coding RNA is filed under the name Heterocephalus glaber (naked mole-rat). RNAcentral describes it as "lncRNA (ENSHGLG00000043174.1)". Lineage: Eukaryota; Metazoa; Chordata; Mammalia; Rodentia; Bathyergidae. The record is from RNAcentral.
CUCAAGGAAAAGCUCCGGUGGGGAGGACACAGCCCAGAGUGUCCUCCGGCUUCACCGUACAGAGGCCAAACCGUGCCGCUUCCCACUUUCUCCAAAACUUAGGGAUGGUGAGGGAAGUUAGAACAGUGGUUUCCGCUGAGGCAUGCGGGCAUGUUCUAUGCGAAGGAGCGCGAGGAAUCCCAGCAUCUCCAAGAUGUAAGCCACAUUCUGUGACCCACCUAUUUCCUGUUCUUUGAAUGGUGGCUUUUGAGAACAGUGCCUAAGGUCAGUACUAGUCCAGGCUUAAUCUUCUAGGUUAAGUCUCCUCCCAGACAUAUUGCAAACCUGAGCCACAAGCUGGAAAAACUUCAAGCAGCCAACCACACCUAUGUGUAAAAAAAUUGUUAGUGUCUACAAAGGUCUGACUAUUUGAG